AAAUUGCAAAUUUGAAACUGCACCCUUAAAGG
Molecule: transfer RNA, 32 nt
Filed under: Pygopus nigriceps
Lineage: Eukaryota; Metazoa; Chordata; Lepidosauria; Squamata; Pygopodidae
Description: partial tRNA-Cys
Source: RNAcentral